RNAcentral lists this ribosomal RNA (597 nucleotides) under uncultured fungus. Its description in RNAcentral is "eukaryotic LSU rRNA". The stretch from base 208 to 361 matches the Rfam family "5.8S ribosomal RNA". Lineage: Eukaryota; Fungi. The record is from RNAcentral.
ACAGCGAGCACUAUCACGAGCAUCUCUCACGAGGCAUGAUCAUUAAAGAGUUGCAAAACUCCCAAACCAUUGUGAACAUACCUGCGAGCAUGCUUCGGCGGGUUGGCCCCGGUCUCCGGGGUCCCCGGCCCUAUACAGCGAGCAUCCGGAGGUAUCUAACUCUUGAACUUUUAUGGCCUCUCUGAGUCUUUGUACUUAAUAAGUCAAAACUUUCAACAACGGAUCUCUUGGUUCUGGCAUCGAUGAAGAACGCAGCGAAAUGCGAUAAGUAAUGUGAAUUGCAGAAUUCAGUCAUCAUCAGCGAGCAUGAACGCACAUUGCGCCCGCCAGUAUUCUGGCGGGCAUGCCUGUUCGAGCGUCAUUUCAACCAUCAAGCCCCCGGCUUGUUAUCACGAGCAUCGGCUGCCGCAGGCCCUGAAAACCAGUGGCGGGCUCGCUAGUCACUCCGAGCGUAGUAAUACAUCUCGCUCAGGGCGUGCUGCGGGUUCCGGCCGUUAAAAAGCCUUAUACGAGCAGCCUAGACCUCGGAUCAGGUAGGAAGACCCGCUGAACUUAAGCAUAUCAAUAAGCGGAGGAAAAGAAACCAACAGGGAUUGC